AAAUCCAACAUCCUGUGAGCACAAGUCCUACAUUGGGUGAGCACGAGACCCACUUUGGGUGAACACAAGCCCCGCCUCAGGUGAGCCCUGCUUCUCUCUCUCUCUCUCUCUCUCUUUCCCUCUUCUCUCUCUGCCCCUCACUCACUUGUGCCCUCUCUCCC
Herpailurus yagouaroundi (jaguarundi) is the source of this 161-nucleotide long non-coding RNA. RefSeq lists it as uncharacterized. Lineage: Eukaryota; Metazoa; Chordata; Mammalia; Carnivora; Felidae. The transcript has 4 exons. The record is from RefSeq and is a predicted model, not a curated record.